RNAcentral lists this ribosomal RNA (361 nucleotides) under uncultured Gammaproteobacteria bacterium. Its description in RNAcentral is "bacterial SSU rRNA". It matches the Rfam family "Bacterial small subunit ribosomal RNA", at positions 9 to 373 of the family's 1533-position model. Lineage: Bacteria; Pseudomonadati; Pseudomonadota; Gammaproteobacteria. The record is from RNAcentral.
GAGUUUGAUCGUGGCUCAGAUUGAACGCUGGCGGCGUGCCUAACACAUGCAAGUCGAGCGGUAACAGGUGUAGCAAUACAUGCUGACGAGCGGCGGACGGGUGAGUAAUGCUUGGGAAUCUUCCCGGUAGUGGGGAAUAACCAACCGAAAGGUUGGCUAAUACCGCAUACGUCCUACGGGAGAAAGCGGGGGACCGUAAGGCCUCGCGCUAUCGGAUGAGCCCAAGUCGGAUUAGCUAGUUGGCGGGUAACGGCCACAAGGCGACGAUCCGUAGCUGGUCUGAGAGGACGACCAGCCACACUGGGACUGAGACACGGCCCAGACUCCUACGGGAGGCAGCAGUGGGGAAUAUUGGACAAAU